UAUUUUUGUACCAUUAGUAGGCCUAGUAUUUCUGGCAAUUGCAAUGGCUUCUUUAUUUCUUCAUGUUCAAAACAAUAAGAUUGUUUAGAUUCAACGGGAUCCGGAUCCAAUCUCAUCCAUUUUCGUUUUCAAAACUUGCACUUAUAUUGUAUCAUAACACGGAUAUCUAGUUAGUGAAAUAGAGUCUAACGUGUGAUUUCCGCCGAACAUAAAGGAAAAGUUCGGAAGACACACG
Molecule: long non-coding RNA, 235 nt
Organism: Ipomoea nil (Japanese morning glory)
Lineage: Eukaryota; Viridiplantae; Streptophyta; Magnoliopsida; Solanales; Convolvulaceae
Exons: 3
Source: RefSeq, a predicted model, not a curated record